GGCUCCCUGGGACAGAUGGGGAGGCUGAGGCCCAGAAGGGGGCUGAGACCACCUCCCAAUUUCCCCAGCGAGGUGGCGCCUGAGCCGCGGCCAGGCCCGGCCUCUUUCCACCCGGCCCUGCUGUGCGCGCGGCAGGUGCUGACCUGGCGAGGCCGGACAGGGGACCAGGUCGGGGUGACCGUCACUGACACCUGGACAGUCCUCGUUGCGUUCGGGGUGGGAGGCCCACGGGGAAGAGUGUAUCACAGCCAUUGGGAACUUUCUUCACCCAUCAAAGCCUCAGGGCUGAAGCAUCCUGAACAAGAACUCAGGAGAGUGAAAGAAACAGUUACCUGUCGGCUGCAGCUGGUACCAGCUCCCCACCCUGUACAGAACCCGAAGCGUCCUCUCUCUCCCCAUCACCCAGCACCAGACUCUGCCCCGUGACCUCAGCCUGCACCUGCUUCCUGGCUCCAUCCAGCCUUCCAGCCUCACUAGAUCAUCAUGGGCCAUUGGCCAACACACAGGGCAGUGCCGAGCCCAGGCCGUGGUCACACAUGGCUGGGUUAGUAGCUGAAAACAUUGUUUUUCACUGGCCUCACAGUAAUGGCACCUGCCCCCAUUUUCUGUGAUUGAAUUUUUGGAUCCUGCUACCAGGUUAUGAUAGAUUUUAUGGUAUGUCUCAAGAUGUUGAGAUAAAGGUAAUAAAACAGCUAUAAAGUCCUGGCUCAAGAAGUGUUACAAACCCAAGCUGAGUAAAUACAAUAAAACUGCACCAGGCACAACGUAGUAAAAUUGCUGAAAACCAAAGACGAAUAGAACACUUAAUAGUUGGAGAAAAAAAGUCACAUUACCUUCAAAAGGACACCAAUCACGCUAGCAUCUGACUUCCAAAUAGAAAUAUAAACCCAAACCACAAGGGAAUGUGAUCUUCAAAAUGUUGAAAAAAUUUAAUUGUUAAGUGAAAUAAUUAACUGCCAAUCUAAAUUCUAUUCCUAGUGGAAAUACUCUCCA
Molecule: long non-coding RNA, 993 nt
Filed under: Pongo abelii (Sumatran orangutan)
Lineage: Eukaryota; Metazoa; Chordata; Mammalia; Primates; Hominidae
Description: lincRNA
Source: RNAcentral